GGAAACAUCUGUGCUGUGUCUGCUCUUUCUGAUCUCACUGCUGAGCUGCACAACAAACCAAGAGAGGUACACCACCAGACCUCCACCUGCAUCCACCUCUCCACCUGCAUCUACACCUCCUCCUGGUUCCAGCUCCCACACUCUUUCUGCCUUUCUCUCUCCUGUCAUUCUUUCUGUGUUGUCAUUUUUUUGUUCGGUCUGUGUUGUGGUUCUACUGGUGUUACUGGUUCUGCUGCUGAGACAAUGUGUUCACAGGAAACCUGAAGAACGAGAAGAAGCUGGAGAAGAUGACAUUAUAUAUGACAAUGAAAUAACAUACAGCACUGUUAAAAUAUCAAAUGAUCAAAAAGAUCCAAUCAGGUGAUGCAGAGAGCCAGAUGUCGUCUACUCUUCACUGAAGUAGUCCACCAGUCCAACCACUGUCAUCC
Oreochromis aureus is the source of this 428-nucleotide long non-coding RNA. RefSeq lists it as uncharacterized. Lineage: Eukaryota; Metazoa; Chordata; Actinopteri; Cichliformes; Cichlidae. The transcript is spliced from 5 exons. The record is from RefSeq and is a predicted model, not a curated record.